UUGCCCUAGUAACGGCGAGUGAAGCGGCAACAGCUCAAAUUUGAAAUCUGGCCCUCGGGUCCGAGUUGUAAUUUGUAGAGGAUGCUUUUGGCGCGGUGCCUUCCGAGUUCCCUGGAACGGGACGCCUUAGAGGGUGAGAGCCCCGUACGGUUGGACACCAAGCCUCUGUAAAGCUCCUUCGACGAGUCGAGUAGUUUGGGAAUGCUGCUCUAAAUGGGAGGUAAAUUUCUUCUAAAGCUAAAUAUUGGCCAGAGACCGAUAGCGCACAAGUAGAGUGAUCGAAAGAUGAAAAGCACUUUGAAAAGAGGGUUAAAUAGCACGUGAAAUUGUUGAAAGGGAAGCGUUUGCGACCAGACCUUUUCCUGGCGGAUCAUCCGGUGUUCUCACCGGUGCACUUCGCCAGGUUGAGGCCAGCAUCGGUUUUCGCAGGGGGAUAAAAGCCCGGGGAACGUAGCUCCUCCGGGAGUGUUAUAGCCCCUCGCAUAAUACCCUUGCGGGGACCGAGGACCGCGCUUUUUGGCAAGGAUGCUGGCNUAAUGGUCGUCAACGACCCGU
Molecule: ribosomal RNA, 555 nt
Filed under: Xylaria sp. Sh21
Lineage: Eukaryota; Fungi; Ascomycota; Sordariomycetes; Xylariales; Xylariaceae
Description: eukaryotic LSU rRNA
Rfam family: Eukaryotic large subunit ribosomal RNA
Source: RNAcentral